This 26-nucleotide transfer RNA is filed under the name Physacanthus batanganus. Its description in RNAcentral is "partial tRNA-Leu". The record is from RNAcentral. Lineage: Eukaryota; Viridiplantae; Streptophyta; Magnoliopsida; Lamiales; Acanthaceae.
CCCGGGUUCAAGUCCCUCUAUCCCCA